This 205-nucleotide ribosomal RNA is filed under the name uncultured bacterium. RNAcentral's name for it is "partial 16S ribosomal RNA". It matches the Rfam family "Bacterial small subunit ribosomal RNA", at positions 568 to 774 of the family's 1533-position model. The record is from RNAcentral.
UGCGCAGGCGGUUGUGUAAGUCAGAUGUGAAAUCCCCGGGCUCAACCUGGGAACUGCAUUUGAGACUGCACGGCUAGAGUGUAGCAGAGGGGGUAGAAUUCCACGUGUAGCAGUGAAAUGCGUAGAGAUGUGGAGGAAUACCGAUGGCGAAGGCAGCCCCCUGGGUUACUACUGACGCUCAUGCAUGAAAGCUGGGGAGCAAACA